ACAGUCAUAUCACGUUGAAAGACCGGUUCUCAUCCAAUCACCAAAGUUAAGCAUCAUUAAGCCUGGUUAGUACCUAAACUGGUGACUUCAUGGGAAUACCAGAUGCUGU
This is a non-coding RNA of Acanthosepion pharaonis, 109 nucleotides long. The record is from the annotation of a GenBank genome assembly. NCBI's taxonomy places the organism in Eukaryota, Metazoa, Mollusca, Cephalopoda, Sepiida, Sepiidae.